This 420-nucleotide ribosomal RNA is filed under the name Microconus sp. FMNH UF221365. Its description in RNAcentral is "eukaryotic LSU rRNA". The record is from RNAcentral. Lineage: Eukaryota; Metazoa; Mollusca; Gastropoda; Stylommatophora; Thysanophoridae.
AAACCGCCCAGAGGUAAACGGGUGGAUCCGCAAAGUCCGGCCCGCGGAAUUCAGCGUGGCGCGCAGACCUGGGCUGUCGGGGUUCGGGAUCCUUUGGACCCAGCCGCGGUGUCGUUCGGGUCUCCGCCGCGUGCACUUUCCGUGGGCAGAAAGCCACAACCGGUUCGGCGGCAGCUACAAGCUCGGAGUGUUGUAGGUGGGGGCGCUUGCGUCCCUACCAGCCUUUCGAUGCGAGCCGUUGUCUGACCGAGGAAAAGCCGCGUGCUUCGAGGCUACCCUCCCCUCCGGGUGAGUUCGACUGGGAGAGACUGGGCAACCGUGUCUCCCGACCGCUCGCCUGCGAUCGGCGUGGGGCUGGCCGGGUACGCUAUGUCAUGGUUGGUGGCAAGUCUGUCGGUAGUCCACCCGACCCGUCUUGAA